AAAAGCAGUGUCUCUCGUUUUUUUUAACCCAUUAUUUGGCCGCCAUUUAACCGUGCGCCAAGGCCCCGAUUGUGACGGAGAUGGCACCGGCUCGACGACUUCGGCGAUUAGGUGAGUUUCCCCUUUCCCUUUUACAUUUUAAGAGAAAAAUAACUAAAAAAUAAAGGAAAAAAAAUAAAAACAAAACCGAUAACUAAGAAUGACGAACACCAAAUAAAUAAAUGGAAAAAAAACCUUUUUGUAUUCAAAAAUCUCUUUAUAUCUCCCCCUUUUACACUGAAAAUAUUGGCCUUUUAUAGCCGAAAAUGGAAAAGAAAACUAAAUCCAAACAAAUCUAUUCGGUUGUUUGUUGGCUCGAUUUUUGCUCUUCUCUUUCGCUUGUUGCAGGUACGUGCUUGAGGAGCGACAUUUGCGGAGGUGUGGCGUGCGUAGAGGAGCGCGAAGAGGCAGUAGUUGCGGCGCCAGAUUGCUAGUGGCCGCUGGGGCAGAAGCAGCUACGGCGCUGAAGCAGAAAGGGCUAGGGUUUCUGCACUGGGCUAGGGUUAAUGUAAUUGGGCUGAAUUUUUGGGUUUAGUCUGCAGAUGGGUAAUUAGGUUAAUUUUGGGCCUUAAAAUGUCUUACGGGCCUGGGCAUAGAAAUUGGGUAUUACAGGUAUCAAAUUGGAAUAUUUGUUAUAGUAAAAAGGCCACUCAUGAAAUUAUCCGUUUAUAAUUUCUUUGUAUUUUUCUUUUGUUAUGGAAUAUAUUAUUAUAUUAAACAUUUAAUAUAAAAUUUCGGAUAAUUUCAAUAGACGUUCCCAAGCUAUGACCAAAAUUUUAAAAUAAUCUUUAAACUUCAAAAUAUUUAAAAUUUAUCUUUAAAGUGUCAAUAUCGUAUCAUCUAGGUCCUUCAUUCAACCUAACAUCAAACUUGGAUAUUAAAUUCCUAAUUAGAUUUGAUAUGAAAGAUAUUUAAAACACGUUGAUUAAAUUUUAAACACGCCUACACUUAUUGCAUGGACAACAUAGAUUUUACGUGUAAGAAAACAAUAUCAUUAAAUUUAAGGGAGUUGAUUCUCUUUCUCCAAUGUAUUAGGUAUCCAUAUUGUUUAUGCAAUUGGUAUAAACAAGUUUAAAAUCUGAUACACUUGUUUUAAAGAUGAUCUACACUAGAUUUGAACUAACACUUAACAUUCAAGUUGAGAGUUAGGCUGACAAGGAGACUUGAUUGAUGCGAUAUUUAAUACUUUGAAGAUUCAAUUAAAAUGUUUUGAAGUUUAAGGAUAAAUUUGAAUUUAACACAUAUUUUGGGGGUUUCUAGUGGAAUUAAUCUUAAAUUUUAAUUAUUUUAUAAACAUUUGAUGUUUUAAUAUUUGUGAUGUAACUCCCCAAAAUUUCUGUUAUGACAGGUAGUCUUGUUUUAGGAUCAAGCAUACUGAAAUCUUUAGAAAAUUUGGAAAAUGAGUCAAAUAGAUAAUUCUUUUUAAGAAGGUAAAAUUGAUAUUGGAAAGAAAUGUGGAUGUGAAAAUGAGCCUAGAAAGGGAUUAAAUUGCAAGUUUAAAAAAGUUAGAGGACUAAAAAAUAAAUUUGACCAAAAAGACAAUUGAUACUUAUUAGUUAAAAAAUAAAUUUGACCAAAAAGACAAUUGAUACUUAUUAGUUAGAAUGUGUAUGGGUGUAAUGGUAAACACUUUUGGAACAAAUUGAAAAAUAUUUGAAAAUGUAAAGACUAAAUUAUAAAUUACUCAUGUUUAUCAAGAAAAGGGCAUAGGUGUAAUUUUCACCACUCGUGGACUUGUAUUAAAGGCUAAAUCAUUGUUAAAUAUCUAUUUGAUGUGAUGAAAGUGGAUUAAGAAGCCAAAAGGAGAAAAACGGUGAUUUUGCCACAUCAAAGCAUUUUCGUCUUGUCACAUGAAUUUUAUAUUAGAAAUAUAGUGGAAGCAUAAUAAUAUAUUAAUGACAUCAAUUAUGAAUCAUUGGAUUGGAUUAAAAGACAAAGAUAGAAUGUUGACCACACAAUUUUUAAAAUGGGGUUUGACUUGACUUGGUGUUUUUAAAAGAAAUGUGUAACAUCCUUUAUUCGGUUUGGUCGACGAACUCGAGCUACGGAGUGCUAUAGUUAAAGCUGAAACAAAAGCCAUUCAAUUUACAUCGAUUAUUUCAAAUAAACAUGAUAUUACUCCAUAACUACACAAUUAACAUUCAAAUUUAAUAUGAAUCAUACAAUCAUAAUCAAAUCAAUGCAAAAUCACUAAAUAUAAUUUUUCUCGGGCAUUAUACGAGCUUACAUAUGCUCUAGUAUCAACCUAGAAUUUAACUAGGACUAAUUUGUAACAUUUUUAAAAUUUACAAAAAAAUUAUUUCAUAAAUAAAUUCUUCAAAUAAUUAAUCAUAUCAUAAAAAUUCAAAUAUUAUAAUAUACAAUUAAAUUCAAGUUUCAAACGAGCUUACAAAAGCUCUUAAACCAACCCAGGAACAAAUAAGGUCUUAAUCGAAAACUUAGCAAAAAGUAUAGAAAUUUAUACAAAAGGGGUCACACGGCCGUGUAUCCAAGCCGUGUGAAAAGUUGUGACCGAGUGUGAUUAAGUUACACGGUCGUUUAUCUAGGCCAUGUGUCUCACUGAAAUUGUAUGGAUUAAAAAAUUUACUUCUUUUAGUGGUCACACGGUCGUGUCACCAACCCGUGUGGAAACACACAACCAUGUGUCAGACCAUGUGCAACAAAAAUGUACCUUUUUAAACAAGUUACCAUUUCAACCAUGCCAAAACCUAUACCAAUGCCAAUAUACAAUAUUACAUCUAUUCAAAACAUGCCAAAACACACCUAAAUCAUUGCGUUAAACAACUAAUCAAUAUGCCUCAAUGACAUCAUUUUACAACAAGAUUCGAAUCAAAUAAUUAAUCCCAUUUCAUGUCAAUUUAAACUAUGACCAUCUAUGUUCACUAUAAACAAUCAAAACACUAAGUUAUGGCCACCUAUAAAUAGUCACAUUACCAAAACUAACCAUACAUAAGUUUAGUACCAAAUUCACACUCAAGACUUUUACCAAUUCUAUAUUUAUUUCACUUCAAAUAUGCACCUAGGAAUCUUAUACAAUCUACAUACCAAAAUGCUACUCAUUACAACCAUUUGAACACCAAACAACCAUUUAUAUGCUUAUUCCAUAACUUACCAAACUAUCCCAAAAUCAAUAUCAUCAUUAGGCCAACUUAUAAUCACUCAAGACAACAUAAGUACAACUCCACCAUAUAUACAUGCCACAUAACCGAGUCUGGGGCAAAGAAAAGACUACCAAAUCAGAUCCUGGACAGUGCGAGCUCCGGAUUGAUCUGACGGACGCGUUCCACAAAAUAACCUAUACAGAGAUAGAAAAGCAAACAAGAUAAGCAUUAUGAAUGCUUAGUAAGCUCCUAUGAAAUUUACACUACAUGCCUUGACCUUAAACUAAAUUAAACUAUUAAACCAGUUUGGUAAUUAAUAUGGCAUCCUUGUCUUCUUUGUACUUUCGUAUACAUUCCCACAAAAAUAAGUAAUAGGUUAGUUUAUUUAUACAUCAAGAACUGCUAAUACAAAUGACAUAUACUUAUACAAUGAUUUAAUAUAGCAAAUCAUAUGAUAUCCAAUUCAUGCUCAAUUUAUAAACACAUAUACUUAAGUUCUUUUUCACAUCACAUUCAAUCAUGCUUGUUUUGCAACAUUACAACAUACAUGUAACAACUGAUUUUCACAUUUAAUCUUUCUAUUCAUUUUGAAUCCAUUUACUUACUAUUUUAGCAUGAAUAACUAUAGUAAAUAUACUUCGGACACACAAGAUAAGAUUGCUCACACGAACUGUAACUGUAAUUGCUUACAUGAGCUGUGAGUCGGGAUGGUAACUUUACAUUAUGCUGCUCACAUGAGCUGUGAAGAAUUCGUAACAAAUGCAGGACCUUAGCCAUCAUUAAAAUAUCCAAGACCAGCACCCAAAACUGUGUAAACCCUAAUGACAUGUCAUUUGUAUCUUAGUUAUUCACUAAGUUCACACGGGCCUCUUUUUUGUAUUCAAUCCAUUUUCAAUCUCUAUAACUGUAUACUCGCUUUUCGUAUUUUCAAUACAAUUUAUAUACAUUUACGGUGAGUCAUCAUCAUAUACACAUCAUUAAAUCAAAUCACAAAUUUGAUCAAUCAAUACUACUCAUCUGUUCACUAUUAACAUUUAAACUUCUUAUUUUACAAUUUAGUUUGAUAAAUGUUGUAUUAAUAAAAAUUACACUUGUAUAUAUAUAAUUAAUAGGUAUAAACAAACAAUUCUAACAUAAUAAUAGAAUACAGUAAGCUCCAUAUAAACUUAUCUAGAAAAUGAAAACUGUAACACCCAAUACUCGGCCUGGUCGCCAAUCCCGAAUAUCCGGAUGCCAUACUACCGUCUCAUGUCAUACACAACAAGUAAAAACUCAUUCUAAAUGAAACGUCUUUAAAUUAUCAUUCGUAUAGGCUCUUGACCAAACAUAUUCUCAUUUAUUGAUUAUACAUGCUGAACAUACAUCAAAAUGUAUUAAAAUGAUAAUUAAACAUGCAUAAAGUCCAUUUAACAAAAUCUCAAAACUGUCACGUAGGUAUCGAUACUGACACUAGGGUAUCGUUAUUUUCUUUAAGUGGUAUCAAUACCACCUAGAAAAAUGAUACCAAACUUACAUUUUGUUUCUCGAUUAAAAACCCAAAGUCUUAAAAACUAUCGGUACCUGUCAUUAAAUAUCGAUACUUUAACCCCGUGUAUCGAUACUUGAGCAAAGGUAUCAAUACCAAAUCUCUAUUCUAACUUCAUGCACAUUUCAAAACACAGAGGUAUCGAUUUUAAAACCCGAUUAUCGAUACAUCUGCUCCAGACCUAAAAAAUGCUGCAUAUACAAGCAAUUAAUCCAUUCCAAUUUAGUUCAUAAACAUCAUACAUCAAUUACUUUUACAAAUAAUCAUUCAAUGACCUAAUUAGUAGUUCAAUAUCGCAAAAUUGUGUUCGAGCAAGUAACGUCAAUCCAUCCUUAUGUUCAUGAACUCAAGCAUAACAAUAACAUGUAAUUCUUAUAAACCAAACCAAAAGCAAAAUGUCUAGAAGUUACCAUGGCUAUAAACAAGUCUACCACAUUGCCUUUUUCCCCAAAACGUAAAUAAGUAUAGAACACCUACAAAAUAAUGCAAAAGUCUUGUUUGGAUCACCUCUCGGAACCAUACCACUCACAUCGGCACACUACUAAUCUGCAAUGGUUUAAAAGGAGUGGGUGAGCUUAACAAGCUCAGUAAAUUCUCAAAAUAACCACAAUGCAAACAAUUCAUCAAGUAUCAACGAAACAACCAUAUAGCAUAGCCUCAACAGUUCCAACUCUAGUGUUAUUUUAUACUUAUUCGUGCAUUAUUACUAGUUCUUUUACAUGGUAAACAUAUUCACUUUUAAGCAUAUAUCCUAUUACACAUAUAAUCACCUAACAUUCAAGCAUAUAUCACAAUAUUCAAAACAUCUUUAUAGAUAAAUUGCAUAAUGGUCACAUACUCAUUUAGGCAUACAUCACAUUACACAUAUAUACAUUUUAAGAUAAUUUGACACUUGAGUUAUGAAACAUAAAAGUGAGCUCUAUCAUCACUUAUCAAAUACGCGAAUUUCUAACACAUCAAACAUAGGCUCAUAGAAUCAAACAUGUCCCAAAAGUGAAGCAUAAAGCUAACACACUCCUUAUUUCUCAUCACAUGUCCUGUUGAAUGGAGUUUAGCUCACACUCUCUUAUCCCUCCAACAUGUCCUAGGGCCUCAACGCCCAAAACUAUUGUACACAUAGGUGAGUACUCACAAUCCUAUGGCAUGCCAACUAUAUCCUACAGUUUCAAGAUCACAAAGCCAAAAUCUCUGAAAUCAAACACAUAUCACUUACUGAUUAUCCGUGCAUUAUCACUGCAUAUUUGUAUCUUUAGCAAAACACUAUCACUAACAUUUAACAUAUACAUUACAUGUGCACAUUUACACUUUCACAAUGGUUAACAUAACCACAUAUCACAUGUUAUAGCAUCUCAUCUCAAUUCACAUAUUCACAAACACAUGAGCAUAUUGUUCAUAAGAUAGCAUAGGUAUAAGAAAGCUUACACUCAGAAUUUAGAGUAGGGGUUUAAGCUACUACUAAAUUCCCAAAUACCACAUUGAAUCAUGUCCGCGAGCAAUUAUUCCAAACACUCACCAAUUACACUUUCAUCGAAAAGCCAAAAGCUCAAACUAGCUUUUCCUUGCCUUUAUCUCUACUCGUAGAAGGUUCUACCGAAUCUAUAACUUUAACACAGCAAAUUCACACAACAAUACAUCCAAAAAUCAGCCAAGGACUCAUUACAAGCAUACAAAACAUAAGCCUAAACUAAGUUCUCAUUUAACUGAAACUUAUAACAUAGCAAACUUUAAAUUCGAAUAUCACAAUCUAUACUUAAUCUUUUCACCUAAAACCAAUUCCGUGCAUCUUAUAAUUCACCUACGACUAAUUCCCAGCCUUUAAACUACAAUAAAAUACUCAAUUCAUAGUAUCGACUUUUUCGACAUGUUUUAUGGCUAUUUUCUGAAAAUUUAUUAAAACUUAAGAAAUCUUUAUUGAAACUUCAAAUUAAGUUUACAAACCUUCUAUUUACAUAAAAAUAAUUGAAAAACACUUUGAAACCAUGUUUUUAUCCAAAAUCCUAAAAUCCACCAUUAACGAUCUAAUUUUCGGCUUUUAUUUAAAACAUGCAAUUUAAUAGCUAAAAAAUUAGUUUUAAAGACUAAAUAACAUUUAAAACUAUUUAGAAAUUGAAUCGUUACCUUAGACAACAAAAAUCCAAGCGUUAGAUCGAAAACCUAAAAAACUCAAAAGCUUGACAAUAGAAGAAACUAUGGUAUUUUCGGGUGUUUUUCUUGGUCUUUUUAUAGAGGUUUGUAACUUAAAAGAUGACAGAAAUCAAAAGAAAUUAAGAUUUGGAGUUCAAAAUUGAUUGGAAUAGCAAGAGAGAACAAGGGAUGACAAACACUAGUUUUGGAGGGUUGUUUUUAUGUGAAAUAAUUUGGAGAAUGGGGGUUUUUAGCUUGAAUUUUAAAAUCUGGUUAAAUUGCUUCAUAAAAAAUAUAAGUUUUGGAUCUUUUAAAAAUCAUUCCUUUUUUGCAAAAUUAAAGGUAUUUAGAAAUCAUUUUUAGAAAUUGAUUUAAUUUUCUAAAAAUCAUAAUUGAAAACAUUAUUAGUAUAUCAUGUCACAAUAUUUCGAACACUCUAAGGUCUAAAUAAAGUAUUCUGGUGAGUUCCUCUGUACCUUGUGUCUACUAUGUUAAAUUGUUUAUUCUUAAACUAUGUACAACCAUGUAAGUGGCUUAGUCAUUUUUUCCUGAUGUUCAUGUCUAAGAGGUCUCAUUCAAAGAGUUAGUGCAUGCGUGGCUAAUUACAGUUAAACAGGCUAGUAAAACCUGAUAUAUAUAUAGUAUGAGUACUCAUUCCUUCAUGUACAAGCUCCGUAUCCAGAUGGGUGUAAGGAGGUAUUUAGGGGAUAAUGUAUAUAAUGAUAAAGAAGAUACGAGAUAAUACGAUUUGCUUCUGGUAUGGCACUUGUUGCAAACUGUGAUUGGUGAAAACCCGACCUUGUAGGAGAACACUUAGAUGUCCAUACAAUAAGGGGAUUUAGAAAGGUACGGAGGUGUUGUCGUCACAUAGCUCAGAUGAGCGGACUUGAAGAUACAGGAAAUAUUUGGUUCUUUGAGAACCAAGGAUUAGAAGCUAUCACAAGGAAAAGAGUACGUGGAAAAAGGGUGCAUGUAGUAUUACAUGUUACAUGAGUGCAUGAACAGUAGGCAUGUCCUUAUAGUGGAUAAACCAUGCAAGUGAGGUAUUCACAGAGUAGAUGUACCCGUUAUUAUCUUAUAUAAGCAUAGAAAUAGUGUUGUUCGCCAAUUGGUUGAGUUGAAUUGCAGUAUCGUCUGCCAGUUGAUUUAUAAACCAAAGUAAAGUAUUCGCCAAACAUGGCGAAAGAGUUGAGUCUGUUUUUCCUUCUUGUCUAAUGGAAAUUAAGUUGGGAUCAUUUUCCUAGGAACUCAUUAAAUUCUUACGAACUUACCGAGAUUCUUCUUUCUUUCAAGUUCUUAGAUUAAGCAUGUUGACUGAAGGGAGACAACCAAAUCAGCGGCCAUUUGUAAGCCUUCUUAAUUUCAGGGUUAACAUGUAUUUGCUGGAGGGUGUUAAGUCUCUUGUUAGAUACAACCACUUUGGAUUUUUUUUCUGUAUUGAAUGUUAAUUUGAAAACAUUGAAUGAUGAAUGGAAGCCUUGUCAAUGUAAUGAUAUUUAUGAUUCAUUGAUGUAAAUUCAAUAGACGAAAAAGGGUAAUCCAAGGAUAAUUAAGUCUUCAAAUGUGGUGAAAUGUUACAAUAAAAUCAUACAGCCAAAUAUAGGUGAACUCGGGCUAGAGAAGUACUGCUCUGUUAGAGAAAGUAUCUGCCAAAACGAAUAAUGUUCUUUUCUAGAAAGAAGAAGUUAAUAGACGUGUUUUUAGAUCAGGUCAACCUGUGAUGCUCCAUACCUGGAUCUAGGGGUCAGGUUGGGCAUGGGGUGUCACAUGACUUCACUAUGGAAGUCGAAUAUGUGGCAGCUUCUGAGGCAACAAAAGAAGCAAUAUAGUUUUGUGAGUUCCUAUAGAUCUUGAAUUUGUUCUUGGUAUGGAAAAAGUUAUCAUACUAUAUCAAGAAAAUAGAACGAAAAUAGCUAACACCAAAGAAACCAGAAACCACAAAAGGACGAAGUACAUUGAUAGAAAAUAUCACAUUAUAAAGGAGGCAGUAGUAAAGAAAAUAGUAGAUGUAGUCAAAGUCACAUUAGAGGAUAACCUUACGGAUUCAUUUAGCAAGACUCUGAUAGCUAGAAGUUUUGAGAAACAUGUAGAGGGCUUGAGAAUGUGAAAUUUUACUUAUCUACUUCACUAGGGCAAGUGGGAGACUGUUGGAUCUAGUUUCAUAAGUGUAGUAUAUUCAUUUGUAUACUUGUACUUUUCGAACAAAUUGGUUUAAUAAAAUAUCUAUUUAUUACAUUAUUAGUCUUUGUAGAUUAUCUUCAACAUUUUUUGCAUGCAAAACAAAAUGGAAAGAAAUAUUAUCUUAUUGAUUAUCUAGAAUUUAAAUAAUACUAAACAGUAUUACGUGGUUGGAUCAUAAUACAAAAAGACAGUUUGUAUUAGUAGAUAAACCUAAACAUGUCAUUAGUCUAAUCUGAAAAGAGCAAACAGAUUGAAAGACUAAUAUUUCGUCUAUCAUGUCUAAUUGGAGAGAUGCAUUGUCUUAAGCAUUGAAGCGAAUGACUACCAGUAGAUAGAGACAUAGAUGUGACUGACUGGACUGACAAUAAAUUGGACAAGACCCUAAUAGAAUAGCUUCUAGAUCUAUAUAUGAAUCUAUUCACUUGUGACAUUCAUAGUGUGGCAUACCUUAAUCCUGAAUGGAUGAUGAACUGUGUAUGCAUGACUUGUAUACUUUAAUGCAAGUAAAAGCUUAAGUUUGAAUAAAUAAGGAACCAUAAGCUGAUGUAUGCUUUAUGUGACUUCAUUUACAGUAGUGGAAUUCAUAGCCCAACUAAUGGGUAAAUGUUAUCCUCUCAUCGAUAUUACAUGAUAGAUGAAAAAUAAAAAUUGCUACAAUUGUUUGCCUUUGUGAUAAAUGACUUGAUUACUAUUUGAUAGUAAUUGACUUUUCAUAAAGAGAGAUGUAAUAGUUACCAUGAGAUAAAAUAUGAUCAUAUUAGGAGAAUGAAUUUAUCCUAAAAAGAUUAAAUGUAUCUUAUGAGGGUAACAUACUUAUGACAAGGUUAUUGGACGAACACUUAUUAAGUAUCUUUCGUAAGGGUAUAUAAUUAGGGAGAACUUAGUAACAAUACUAAAGUAGAAUGAGUUCAUGACUAAAUAAAUUUAUAAUUAAUAGGUAAAAAGAUAGAAUUUAAUUAUAAAUUAUUUGAGCCCUAAUUAUAUAUGUCUAAUCAGUCUUUUUGCUAGCUUGUUGAAACCAUAAAUAAAUGGAAAUGAUAAAGUUAGAGAAAUAGGUCAUAUUCACAAAUGAAUGUGUUUUCUCACUAAGUAUAGAAAUGACUUGAGAAUUAAUUUAAGGUUUUCAAAUAAUUAUUUAAUAAUUCUAAUUAAGUAAUUGAUAUUCAAAAAUGGAAUUAAAUUAAUUAGUCAUGAAUCCAUUGAAUAAUGAAAUCAAAUAUAUUUACUCAUAGAUUCUUUUACGGUAAAGUUGUCAUGACUUUAAUAGAAGUAGAAUUGGGUUGAGAAAAUUAUUUAAUUGAGAAAUUAAUAUAGUUAAUUAAAUUAAUUAAAUUAAUAAAAUCAUAUUUAUUUCGAAAAACUAGAAAAUAAGUAUUGAUUUGGAUUAAAUUAUAAAGUGUUAAGUCAAAAUUCUAGAAAGCACAUAUAAUUAGACCCAACACAUGAGAGGCCCAUAAUCCUCUCAUUAAUUAGAGAAGGGUGACAAACUCUACUCCAAUUGGAAUAGGAGUGUGUUUUCUAUUAAAUAAAUAUUAUUUAUGUAGAGCUUUUUCAACUAGGAUUUUUAUAUCUCUUUCAUAAAUAGAUUACAUCGAUUGACCUAAUUCACACACUUCUUAAUUAUUAAUUUAUCACUAAAAUAGCUAAAAAUAGAGAUAAUUCAUUUACUUAGAGUAAAUUCUAUUUUCUAAUAAUUAUGAUCUUUACCAAUUUCUAUUGAGAGAAUUUUUUUUCCUACUUAAAAUUAAUAAUAUCAUUUCUUGAUUUGUGUUUGGUUCAUAUUGCUCAAUCCCACACUUAGGGCAAUUUGCGGUAUAAGGAUAGUGAAGAUGUUGCUUUGUUGAAAGCUGGGAUCAACUCGAAUUGUCUUGCACGAAGCACAGGUACUUUUCAGUAAAAAAAAUUAUUACUAUAAAUAUCACAACCAACUUGAUUUUGAAAAUUUUAAAUUUACGCUAUAAUUAUAAAUCAUUUUCGUAACCAAAAUUUUCUAACAAGUGAAUUUCGAGAAAAUCCACCAAGAAGCUCCAAAUAUUUAGUAUUGACCUCCGGGGUAAAAGGAUGCAGCGAGAGGGUAUUCAAAUACAACGCUCAAGUGUCAUGGGUUGCAUAUGGGAGCCCGCGACCAUGACAUACUUGUGUGAUCCAUCAUAUUCAAAGGAGGUUAUUCGGCCCAACUGGACUAGCCCAUGGCUUGGAGAGAUUAAAGGCCCAUCUACAAUGCUUGGCAAAUAUGGAAUGUAAUCUUCAAAUAUAUGUAAUCCUAGAUAUGAUAUGUAAUCUUUAGAAGAUACAAUUCUAUAAUCUUAGAGAUUUGAUUUGUAGAUAGCUUUUAAUCUUAGCCAUUGAUGUACUUUGAUAUGUAUCGUUGAUUUUGGGAGGCUCAACCAUUAAUAAAGGCCUCUCCCCCUCAUUGUAAUUCAUUCAGUGAGUAAUAGAAUUUUGAGAGCAUUCACUCAAAACUUUCUCUCUAGUGUCCUUGCUUUUCUAUGGCUUUGUUCAUCUUUCGAGUUCUUUUUCUUUUCAUUCUUUUGCUUGUUCUUCGUGGGUGCCUUAGACGAAUUCUAUUAAAUCCUCAAUUGUUGGGAGUUAGGUUGACCUAGACAUUUUUGGAGUGAAGAAACUGCCUUUAGUCGUACAAAUUAUUUAGGGAAAAUCUAAUCCCGUGAUAGUUUGGUAUCCGAGCUAAAGUUCGAAGGCACCGGUGAAAGAUGUCGAAAGAAAUUUUUGAGCAUGGUGAGCCAAUGGAGACCCCUAGGAGGGCCAAAAAAGCUAGUCAUUCGAGGGACAUACUGUUGGCUUUGGAGGAUCGACUCAUCACUCUCGAGGAAUCCAUGAGGAUGUCAAGAAGAGGAUCGAUGAUGUCAAUGAUAGGGUCAUCGAUGGGUUGCAGUCCAUGAAGGAGCAGCUCAGAGAUUAUGUGUUAAGGUAGUUAUUGCUGCUAUAUAUCUUACAGACGUUGCUUUGUUGUGGUGGCAUCAUAGGUCCACAGAUGUAAGACGUAGUGGGACCAAAAUCAAGACUUGAGAGGAGUUCUAAAGUGAGUUCAUAGUAUAGUUUUAUCCAGAGUGUGCCGAGGAUGAGGCUCAGAAAAAGUACGUUAGCUUGUGCAACAAGGCACUAUGAGGGAGUAUGUGCAAGAGUUAGCGAACUCAUACUUCAUAUAUCAGAUAUGAAUAAGAAAGAUGCAUUUUUUCCUUCAUGGAUAGGUUGAAACCAUGGGCGAAACAAGAGUUGUAACGUCGAGGAGUCGAAGAGCUUCCCAAGCCCAUGACCGUAGCAUAAUCAUUUUCUAUGUUGGUGGAAAGAAAGACAAGCCUAAGUCUUCCAAGCCCAAAUUUAACCAAAGGACAAUGGUGGGGGAGACAAAGACAAACCUACUAAGAAUGGCAACAGUAAGAAGCCUUAGGACAAAAAGAAGAAUGGGUCUUUAAGUUGCUUCCAUUGUGAUGGUCUACAUAUGAUCAAUGAUUGUCCGAAGAAGGCCGCAAUUUUUACUAUAAAAGUAAAAGUGGAGGCAGAUAAGGCAAAUAACAACCUUGGUUUCGAUAUUAAGGGGUGUCGAAGAUAAGACGAGUCAUGGGCUAAUAUUUGUAGACAUAAUGGUGGCUGGUAGAGAAUUGAAUACACUUGUCAACAUAGGGUGCGUUUGAUGUGUUCAUGUCCGAAGAGAUUACUUGUAAACUAAUCUCUAGAUCCAAAAUGAGUCGGGUAUGAUUAAGACUGUAAAUUCAGAAAGUGUUCCAAUCACGGGGGUUGUAAAGGGAGUGGAUCUCUAUCUUGGCGAUAUGACCGGUAAGGCGAUCAUUAAGGUAAUACCACUUGAUGAUUAUGAUUUUUUGGUUGGAUUAAGUUUCCUUGAUUGGGUUAAUGCAUCUUUUUUUCCUUUUGGUAAUUACAUGGUGAUUUUAUAUUCAAACCAUUGAUGCAUGGUGAGAAUUAUACGGAAAGAAAGCAUGGAGAGAAAAACAUUUUCGGUAAUCCAAUUUGCUAAAGGAGUACGUAGAGAUGAAGUCUCCUAUUUAGCCACCCCGAAGAUCGAGGAAGUCAUUAAGUCUAUCGGUGAGAUCUCGAGAGAAGUGGGCCAAUUAUUUCAGUCUUUUCUAGAUGUGAUGCUUAUCGAGUUGCCCAAAAAUUUGCCACCUAAGAGAGAGGUGGACCAAAGGAUCGAGUUAGUGCCCAACAUGAAGCAGCCAACAAAGGCCCCAAAUCUUAUGUCUCCGCUAAAAUUGGAAAAGCUGUGGAAAAAAUUGAAUGUGCUUUUAGAUGCGGGAUUCAUUAGGCCAUCUAAAUCUCCGUACGGUGCAUCAGUGUUGUUUUCAAAAGAAACAUGUUGGGUUAUUGAGAAUGUGCAUCGAUUACUGGGCCUUAAACAAGAUUACUGUGAAUAACAGUACUUUAUUACCAUUAUUACGGAUUUAUUUGAUCACUUGGUAGUGCGAGAUGGUUUACCAAGUUGGAUUUGAGAUCGGGGAACCAUCAAGUUCGGAUAGCCGAGGGAGACGAGCCAAAGACAACUUUGUAACGCAGUUUGGUUCGUAUGAGUUCCUUGGUGAUGCCCUUUGGACUCACGAAUGCACUAGUUACAUUCUGCACCUUAAUGAAUAAAGUACUUCAACUUUUCCUAUAUCAUUUUGUGGUUGUUUACCUUGAUGAUAUUGUGGUGUACAGUAAGUAGCUCGAGGAGCAUGUGGAAACAUUUAAGGGAAGUGUUCCAAACUUUGAGGGAAUAGAAGCUAUUUGUCAAAGAGGAGAGGUGCUCAUUUGCCCAACGAGAGGUGUCAUUUCUAGGCCACAUUGUGGGAGGUGGUAGGAUCUAGAUGGAUGAGAGCAAAAUUUGGGCCAUUGUUAAAGUGGGAGCCACCAACAAGGUGACAAAGUUGAGAUCUUUUCUUGGGUUGGCGAAUUAAUAUCAAUGCUUCAAUCAAAAGCUACUCUAAAAUUACCGCACCCUUAACGGACAUGUUGAAAAAGGCUAAGGUAUGGGAUUGGGAUCGACAAUGUGGAGAAAGCCUUUAAACCAAUUAAAGCAAGUGAUAAUAAGGGAGCCUGUACUUACUUUGUCAGAUUAUUCAAAGCCAUAUGAGGUACGCACGGAUGCAUCAAAUUAUGCCAUUGGGAGUGUACUAAUGCAAGAUGGGCAUCCAAUUGCUUUUGAGAGUCGAAAGCUUAAUGAGACAGAGUGGAGGUACACAGUCUAAGAAAAAGAGAUGACUGUUAUGGUGCAUUACUUGCUCACAUGGAGGAAUUAUUUAUUGGAUUCUAAGUUCGUGGUCUUUACCGAUAAUGUUGCCAACAGUAAGUUAGGACCCGAAUAUUGCCUUUGCUUUUGGAAAUUCUUAUUUCGAGAAGUCAAAGUAUCAAGACCAGUAAGUUAGGACCCAACAUUUUGAAUCCCCGAGAAAUAAGCUUCAUUUGAAAUUUGUGAAUUUAUUGCAAAAUGAAUACUUAGCAUUCUAAAUUCAUCGAAGAAUAAUCGCGAUCCAGUAAGUUAGGACACGAUCUUUCUCGAGAAUCACGAGUGCCAAUAUUUUAAAAAUUUAUAAAAUAUGAUGAUUUUAAUGCUUUGCCGCAACCAAAAUAUAUUUUUUUCUAAAAGGCGUAUUAAAAAGUUGAUGUAUAACAUGAAACAAAUACUUUAACUUAAAUUACAAGUGUAUAUGUAUUUACAAAAUAUACAUGUUCAAGUAUAAUAUACAAGGAUACAUAUAAAAGAUGGAGUGGAAUAUAUCAAUCAGAAACUAAUAAAAAAAUGCACGUAUAUAUUUGAAAAUCGUGAAAAUAAACAAAAAGUAUGAAUAUGUGUAUAAAUUUACAAAAUAAAAAAAUGUAUAAGUAUAUAUAAAAUAUAAAGUAUAUGGAAGUUUUAAAAAAACUAUAUAUAUAAAAAAAUUAAAAAACGUAUGAAUAAAAUAUAAGCAUGCAUUUAUAAAAGCUUAAAAAAAUGUAUAUAUAUUAUAUAAAAUAUGCGCAUGAAUAUGUAUAGAAAAUAUAAUAAUAAUAUAAUAAUGAUAGUAAAUAAUAUAAUAAUAAAAAUAAAAAUUAAAAAAAAAACGAAUUGCAAAAAAAAAACACAAAUAACCAAUAAAUGAAAUUAAAAUAAAAUGGAGGACCAAUUUGCAACGCGCGCAUUAUAUGAGGGGGCCCAAAUGGAAAUAAUCCAUCCCCCAAACUGUGUGCAUUGAUGUGGGCUGAAAUGAACAAAGGUAAAAACAUUUGGGCCAAAUUAAAAAGAAAUAACUUGGCUUAAUAAAACAUGGCGCAAAGAGGGAGGGCUAAAUACGAAAUUUUCCCAUUUAAGGUGGAUAUGCGCGGACCCCUCCCCCCCCCCCCCCGCCCAAACUAAACGGCUCAGCUUUUAUGUUUUAGUUUAAAUUAAACAAAACAAAAAAAAAGAUCAUUCUGUUUCUUUUUCUAAAAGAAAAGCAGUGUCUCUCGUUUUUUUUAACCCAUUAUUUGGCCGCCAUUUAACCGUGCGCCAAGGCCCGAUUGUGACGGAGAUGGCACCGGCUCGACGACUUCGGCGAUUAGGUGAGUUUCCCCUUUCCCUUUUACAUUUUAAGAGAAAAAUAACUAAAAAAUAAAGGAAAAAAAAUAAAAACAAAACCGAUAACUAAGAAUGACGAACACCAAAUAAAUAAAUGGAAAAAAAACCUUUUUGUAUUCAAAAUCUCUUUAUAUCUCCCCCUUUUACACUGAAAAUAUUGGCCUUUUAUAGCCGAAAAUGGAAAAGAAAACUAAAUCCAAACAAAUCUAUUCGGUUGUUUGUUGGCUCGAUUUUUCUUUGCUCUUCUCUUUCGCUUGUUGCAGGUACGUGCUUGAGGAGCGACAUUUGCGGAGGUGUGGCGUGCGUAGAGGAGCGCGAAGAGGCAGUAGUUGCGGCGCCAGAUUGCUAGUGGCCGCUGGGGCAGAAGCAGCUACGGCGCUGAAGCAGAAAGGGCUAGGGUUUCUGCACUGGGCUAGGGUUAAUGUAAUUGGGCUGAAUUUUUGGGUUUAGUCUGCAGAUGGGUAAUUAGGUUAAUUUUGGGCCUUAAAAUGUCUUACGGGCCUGGGCAUAGAAAUUGGGUAUUACAGGUAAAAUUGGAAUAUUUGUUAUAGUAAAAAGGCCACUCAUGAAAUUAUCCGUUUAUAAUUUCUUUGUAUUUUUC
RNAcentral lists this long non-coding RNA (16118 nucleotides) under Gossypium barbadense (sea-island cotton). RNAcentral describes it as "long non-coding RNA (GBAR_LNC023467)". Lineage: Eukaryota; Viridiplantae; Streptophyta; Magnoliopsida; Malvales; Malvaceae. The record is from RNAcentral.